GCACAAGCGGUGGAGCAUGUGGUUUAAUUCGACGCAACGCGAAGAACCUUACCUGGGCUCGAAAUGUAGUGGACCGGGGUAGAAAUAUCCCUUCCCAGCAAUGGGCUGCUAUAUAGGUGCUGCAUGGCUGUCGUCAGCUCGUGUCGUGAGAUGUUGGGUUAAGUCCCGCAACGAGCGCAACCCUUAUUACCAGUUGCUACCAUUUAGUUGAGCACUCUGGUGAGACCGCCUCGGAUAACGGGGAGGAAGGCGGGGAUGACGUCAAGUCCUCAUGGCCUUUAUGUCCAGGGCUACACACGUGCUACAAUGGCCGGUACAAACCGUCGCAAACCCGCGAGGGGGAGCUAAUCGGAAAAAGCCGGCCUCAGUUCGGAUUACAGUCUGCAACUCGACUGUAUGAAGCUGGAAUCGCUAGUAAUCGCGGAUCAGAACGCCGCGGUGAAUACGUUCCCGGGC
Molecule: ribosomal RNA, 456 nt
Filed under: uncultured bacterium
Lineage: Bacteria
Description: bacterial SSU rRNA
Rfam family: Bacterial small subunit ribosomal RNA
Source: RNAcentral